Molecule: ribosomal RNA, 253 nt
Filed under: uncultured bacterium
Lineage: Bacteria
Description: partial 16S ribosomal RNA
Rfam family: Bacterial small subunit ribosomal RNA
Source: RNAcentral
UACGUAGGGUGCAAGCGGUAAUCGGAAUUACUGGGCGUAAAGCGUGCGCAGGCGGUUUUGUGAGACAGGCGUGAAAACCCCGGGCUCAACCUGGGAAUUGCGCUUGUGACUGCAAAGCUGGAGUGCGGCAGAGGGGGAUGGAAUUCCGCGUGUAGCAGUGAAAUGCGUAGAUAUGCGGAGGAACACCGAUGGCGAAGGCAAUCCCCUGGGCCUGCCCUGACGCUCAUGCACGAAAGCGUGGGGAGCAAACAGG